Molecule: ribosomal RNA, 563 nt
Filed under: Thraustochytrium sp.
Lineage: Eukaryota; Bigyra; Thraustochytrida; Thraustochytriidae
Description: bacterial SSU rRNA
Rfam family: Eukaryotic small subunit ribosomal RNA
Source: RNAcentral
UCCAAGGAAGGCAGCAGGGGGGUAAAUUACCCAAAGUGGACUUCCCGAGGUAGUGACGAGAAAUAUCAAUGCGGGGGGCUUUGCGUCUUGCUAUUGGAAUGAGAGCAAUGUAAAACCCUCAUCGAGGAUCAACUGGAGGGCAAGUCUGGUGCCAGCAGCCGCGGUAAUUCCAGCUCCAGAAGCGUAUGCUAAAGUUGUUGCAGUUAAAAAGCUCGUAGUUGAAUUUCUGGUGUGGGAGCCCAGGCCUCGGUGCGAAUGCGCCUUGUUUUGCCUUGCGGCUCCUUUGCCAUCCUCGUUUUUCGUAAGAAAGGCGUCAUUCACUGUAAUCAAAGCAGAGUGUUCCAAGCAGGCCGUAGGGCCGGUAUGUUUAUUAUGGGAUGAUCAGAUAGGACUCGGGUGCUAUUUUGUUGGUUUGCACAUCUGAGUAAUGAUUAAUAGGAACAGUCGGGGGUAUCCGUAUUUAGGAGCUAGAGGUGAAAUUCUUGGAUUUCCGAAAGACGAACUACAGCGAAGGCAUUUACCAAGCAUGUUUUCAUUAAUCAAGAACGAAAGUCUGGGGAUCG